Molecule: long non-coding RNA, 789 nt
Organism: Hydractinia symbiolongicarpus
Lineage: Eukaryota; Metazoa; Cnidaria; Hydrozoa; Anthoathecata; Hydractiniidae
Exons: 4
Source: RefSeq, a predicted model, not a curated record
UAUACUUUUGACUAUACGGUCCGAGUCCAGGAUUUACGGGAAAUCGCAGGUUUUCGUUUACCGGCGAUUAAACUUCUUUUAUUCAGCGUCUCAUCAAAAAUGAAAACAUUUUUAAAAACUACAAGUCUCAUGCGUUUUAGUGGUGAAAAAUAAUUUAAAAAAUCGUUCGGGAAAUGAGUUUACUCCCUGGGUACUUUCUUUGUAUACUUUUGACUAUACGGACCGAGUCCGGGAUUUACUACGGGAAAUCGCAGGUUUUCGUUUACCGGCGAUUAAACUUCUUUUAUUCAGCGUCUCAUCAAAAAUGAAAACAUUUUUAAAAACUACAAGUCUCAUGCGUUUUAGUGGUGAAAAAUAAUUUAAAAAAUCGUUCGGGAAAUGAGUUUACUCCCUGGGUACUUUCUUUGUAUACUUUUGACUAUACGGACCGAGUCCGGGAUUUACUACGGGAAAUCGCAGGUUUUCGUUUACCGGCGAUUAAACUUCUUUUAUUCAGCGUCUCAUCAAAAAUGAAAACAUUUUUAAAAACUACAAGUCUCAUGCGUUUUAGUGGUGAAAAAUAAUUUAAAAAAUCGUUCGGGAAAUGAGUUUACUCCCUGGGUACUUUCUUUGUAUACUUUUGACUAUACGGACCGAGUCCGGGAUUUACUACGGGAAAUCGCAGGUUUUCGUUUACCGGCGAUUAAACUUCUUUUAUUCAGCGUCUCAUCAAAAAUGAAAACAUUUUUAAAAACUACAAGUCUCAUGCGUUUUAGUGGUGAAAAAUAAUUUAAAAAAUCGUUCGGGAAA